AUGUGUCGAGCAAUCCAUCAGGCACGUGGGACCCUUCGAUAAGCCCUAGGAUGCGACAAACUAUCGUCGGUUGCCGUGUUCAAGGCGUGCACUGGAAGCGUGCCUGAUGGGUGACGAUUUUUCCACUUGUUUAGGUGCCACCAAAUCUUGUUUGAAACAUUACAUCCUUCUCUAACCCCAGCACCUGUUACUAAGUACCUACUUAGGUCACAUGCGGCAAGUGGCGUUUGGAAAUGGAAGUAGCUACGUCUGUGGUUUUGAAGAACAUUUGGCAAAAUUGUUGUGAUUAUCGACACGGAUGUCAAGCUCCCAUCUCAAAUGUGUUGCUCUAACAAACCUUGGGAGAAUAGCCACCAGCCGCUUGUCUUGCUUAGUGAGUGAUUUGGUGGCACCCAGUUUUUUCAUUUUGCCUCAUUGCUCCGCUACUCUGGAGCUGCAUUCGCAUCUACGUCUGGUCGGUGGUUUCUCUUCUCUCUUUCAUUUCCUACAGCGAGCUUCCAGCAAAAUUUAAGCACUUUCAUUAAAACCUAGCACAAAAGAAGUGGGUCUCAUUCCCAACCCAUGGCUGAAGACUCGAUUCCAGGAACUCCCGGCAUCUGAAGCAUUCGGCUCCGACUCUGCACGAAAAAACACAGCAUCUCGUGAGUGGUGGGUGUAGAAUCACCAAACAUUCUAGAAACAAAGUGCUCCGACGUGGAAAUAGCUGCCGAAAUCCUGCUCUUCCUGCUGCUGCUCCUCCUCCUGCUCCCAUUAUCCCAUAACCAACAAUGCCUUGAUAAAAAAAUCAGCAGCAGCAAACAUGCUCAAUCACUCACUCUCAUUUCUACAACAAGUUGGAAGUUGUUGUUUUGUGAAUGUUUCUUUGUCUCCCACAUCGUUCAUUUCCUCCUUUCCUACCUCCUCACCAUCAUCUUCAUUGUGUUGUCGUUUUUGUUGAAGUGGCCAUUGUAAUAUAUUGGCACAACUUGGUUUCUCCAAAUGGGUUGUAGCCACAAUCAAUAUUUUACUUUUUAUGGAAGAAGUGCUCUUUUUGGGGUUUUGAUUUUAAUUUCGAAAAAGUUUUCAUAGAUUUUCAGAAGAUUUAUUGAUUCAUCAUAAAUAAAGAGGAAUGACAAAGUGAUCCAUCCUUUUACUAAAUCGACCCACCCUCUCUUCCAUCAUCCCAACCCCCCUCGUUCCCGGCCCACGCUCGUUCCCAGCCCACGCGGACUAGCAUUUGCAAUGGCAGCGCAAUCGCAGUAUCCGGCAAACGUCGUUCUUCCCGAUGGAAACAACAGGUCCAGAGCUGCUGGGGAAAUGAAGAUCACCGCACCUUCUUGGAGGCGGAGCUCAAUCAGAGCUCAUAUUUCGGGAAGUUCCAGAAUCCGUCUCCUGGAGUGACCAGAUCGAAGCAUUAUCGCCUAUUCAACCAAUGUGUUUCGACAGGUUUGCAGCUUACCUUCGAGGAUGAUCGGCUGCGCUCUACUUCGCCAGUUUCCACAAGCGGGAGAGUCGCUGCACCUUUGCAGCAAGAUAGAGACGAUGAAAUUGAGCAACUUUUAAAGAUUCAGGUAAUCAUCCCACAGUCACAGUCAUGUUGCACUCCACCCAGCAGCGCGACGUACAAUAAUUUUGGGCUGUGGAUUAGGGCUGUAGAUAAGCUGACCCACAUGGAGCGCCAGAUUCACUUUGUGCAUUAGAAUCUUCUCGCUUGUCAUGGUCGUUGUUGUCUUCCUCUUCUACAGCUUCAGAUUCUUCAUUUGGUUGAGUGGUCCUGAGCUGGCGACUUCUCGCGCUCCACGACAUGAGGCUGCUUGAGAUUGUUUCGCGUCGCGGGACUCGGAUUGCCAGGAUUUCGUGGUAGGUUAGUUGUUUUGGUCAGCAAAUUGGGGUUUUCUCUUUUUGGACAGAUAUCUUGUCUUUCAUGUUUUUGGGGUAUAGUGAUUAUGCUUCUGCGGCCGGCGUGGAAAGGGUUUGAAAGGA
Physcomitrium patens is the source of this 1962-nucleotide non-coding RNA. Lineage: Eukaryota; Viridiplantae; Streptophyta; Bryopsida; Funariales; Funariaceae. The record is from RefSeq and is a predicted model, not a curated record.